This is a long non-coding RNA of Psammomys obesus (fat sand rat), 2165 nucleotides long. RefSeq lists it as uncharacterized. The transcript has 3 exons. Lineage: Eukaryota; Metazoa; Chordata; Mammalia; Rodentia; Muridae. The record is from RefSeq and is a predicted model, not a curated record.
CCGCCUCCGCCUCCGCCAAGAUGGUGGCAUCGUGCGGGAAGCUGCCCGCCUCGGGCUUCGAUCCCAGGCCUCCGCCGCGCUCCGUUUCCGCCUAGAGCCCGGACAUCGGAGCCGGGCCACAGCCUCGUCUGCGCCGGGCCCGAGCCCGGGUCCUGCUGCGUCGGGUCCGCGGCCCAGAGCCACAUCUCGGGCCGGUGGUCGCCCCGUUCUCUGGCGCUGCGCGUCGCCUGAGGCCUUCCUGGGCUAGGCCUUGGCAGAGCCCAUCGCAGAGCUUGUUCUGCGGGCCUGGCCGGACCUCGGAGGCCCGGUCGGCCGACCUGACUCCCCGCCUUACUCCCUGCGCCUUUCCAGCUCGUCUCUGCCCACAGGCCUCAGAAACGCCUUCCGUCCCCUCCAGCUCUCAGUCACAACUACCAGUUUCUUUCCUCCUCAGAACUCAUCACUAGCUCAGAUACAUGUGUUCGCUGCGUGCCCUUACACCGCUGUAGACGCGCUGCUCCGAUUUCUAGAGGACCAGACCUUACUCAGGUAUAAAAACUGUGAAGAAAGCUGCUUAUCUGCAGGAAAGAAUGAAUGAAAUAAGGCAGCGUGUGAUAUGUUGUGUUCCAUGCAGUGAAGUGCUUCCCCACAGUAACGUAACUGUUACUGACUCUACUAUAAAUUUCUAAAUCUACUGAGGCAGUGGCGGCGCACACCUUUGAUCCCAGCACUUACGACGUAGAGGCAGGUGGAUCGCUGUGAGUUCCAGGCCAGCCUGGUCUGCAGAGCUACAGGAAGAAACACUGUCUCAAAAAAUAAAAAAAUAAAAAAAGCUAAAUCUAAAAGCUCUUGGCAUUGUCGAUGAGCAUCUGUCUGCAUGUGUGCUAGCACACCGGAAGAGGGCACCAGAUCUCACUGUAGACGGUUGGGAGCCACCAUGCGGUUGGCCAGGAAUUGAACUCAGGACCUUUGGAAGAACAGCCAGUGCUCUUAAACUCUGAGGUAUCUCUCCAGGCCUAGUUAAUCUAUCUUAUUUACUGAGUUUUAUUCCUUCAGGAGUGUACCCUGUACAACCUUCUAUCUUUAAACUACAUUAUUUAGAAACCCAUGUGUUUUAUUGUAUGAUUUUUUUUUUUGCUGUAUAUAUGUGCAUUACUUCAGUGUGUGUUUAAUGUGUAUGUUAAUUAUACGUCUGUGGGGUUUUUAUUUUAAUUUUUGUGUUCAUUGAUGUUUUGCUUACAUUGGGUGCGAGAUCCUCUCGAACUGGAGUUACAGUUGUAAGCUGCCAUGUGGGUGCUGGGAGUUGAACCCAGGUCCUCUAAAAAAGCAGCCAGGGCUCUUAAUGGCUAAGCAAUCUCUCCAGACCUUUUUCUUGGAAGACUUGAAUGCACUUAACAUUUUGUUCUUUGAAAACAUAUUUGGCAUCCUUGUUUAUCUCUUUGUCAGAUACAGAGUUUGCAAGAAUGGGAAGAUAUUUUUAGCACUUGUUUCUAAAGAUCCAUGCCAGGAUGUUCUCUGGAUACAAGAACUGGAGUCAGAGCACAUUUCUAUAGGUUGGUUCCAGUGCCUUGCAUUCCAGAAUGUUGGGUAGCUGUAGAUAGUAAGAAUGAGAAAGAGGGAAAGUUUAUUUUGGACUGUAGGCUCCCAUCAGCCCACACAGUCUUUCCUUCCUCAGAACACAGGAGUGGAAAGUUAUGCAGCUCAUUUCACAAAAGGGUUUCCUAGUUUACACUUAACUCUUUGGUCAAAUCUUGGACUUUAUCAGACACCCCUAUAACUUAUUUGUGCUUAUGAGUGGUAUUUUCCCUCAGCUCACUUCUGUUCCUGUAUAGAGUUAGCAUGUAGUAUUGAGAAUAUUCUAUAUGUUGAAGAAGAUGGAAUUAAGAAGAUGGCUGACUAAGCUGAAUAUAGUGGCUCAUGCUUUUGAUCCCAGUACUACAGGAGGAAAAGGCAAACGAAUCUCUGCAAGUUCAAGGUCAGCCUGGCCUACAUUAUGGAAAAAGGACAGCCAGAGCUACAUAGAUUCUAUCUUGAAAACAACAUGCAAAAAAAGAGGCUAGCUGACUGGGCACAUGGGUGACUAAGCAUUUCUGCCCUCUCUGAAUGUGUAUUAACAUUGUGUAUUACUUCCACCCCCUGGGUUUCAUUUAACAUUCUUUCCUGUUCUAGAUGUAUAAAUGAAUAAA